UAAGGAAUAUUGCUCAAUGGGAGAAAUCCUGAAGCAGCAACGCCGCGUGGAGGAUGAAGGGUCUAUGACUUGUAAACUCCUGUAAAGAAGGAAAAAAUUCCCAUUAGAUGGGAGAUGAUGGUACUUCUGGAGUAAGCCCCGGCUAACUACGUGCCAGCAGCCGCGGCAAUACGUAGGGGGCAAGCGUUGUCCGGCUUUACUGGGCGUAAAGGGUGAGUAGGCGGUUGUAUAAGUCAGAUGUAAAAGGCACAGGCUUAACUUGUAUAAGCAUUGGAAACUGUACAACUUGAGUGUAGGAGAGGUAAGUGGGAUACCUAGUGUAGCGGUGAAAUGCGUAGAUAUUAGGAGGAACACCAGUGGCGAAGGCGACUUACUGAACUGUAACUGACGCUGAGUCACGAAAGCGUGGGUAGCAAA
This 417-nucleotide ribosomal RNA is filed under the name uncultured bacterium. Its description in RNAcentral is "bacterial SSU rRNA". It matches the Rfam family "Bacterial small subunit ribosomal RNA", at positions 355 to 772 of the family's 1533-position model. The record is from RNAcentral.